GUGGGGAAUAUUGGACAAUGGGGGGAACCCUGAUCCAGCCAUGCCGCGUGUGUGAAGAAGGCCUUUUGGUUGUAAAGCACUUUAAGCGAGGAGGAGGCUACCGAGAUUAAUACUCUUGGAUAGUGGACGUUACUCGCAGAAUAAGCACCGGCUAACUCUGUGCCAGCAGCCGCGGUAAUACAGAGGGUGCGAGCGUUAAUCGGAUUUACUGGGCGUAAAGCGUGCGUAGGCGGCUUUUUAAGUCGGAUGUGAAAUCCCCGAGCUUAACUUGGGAAUUGCAUUCGAUACUGGGAAGCUAGAGUAUGGGAGAGGAUGGUAGAAUUCCAGGUGUAGCGGUGAAAUGCGUAGAGAUCUGGAGGAAUACCGAUGGCGAAGGCAGCCAUCUGGCCUAAUACUGACGCUGAGGUACGAAAGCAUGGGGAGCAAACAGGAUUAGAAACCCUGGUAGUCC
This 451-nucleotide ribosomal RNA is filed under the name uncultured bacterium. RNAcentral's name for it is "partial 16S ribosomal RNA". It matches the Rfam family "Bacterial small subunit ribosomal RNA", at positions 354 to 796 of the family's 1533-position model. The record is from RNAcentral.